CGAGGGGAGUGAAACAGUUUCUGAAACCGGACGCCUACAAUCAGUUGGAGGGCCCUUGCGGCCUGACAGCGUACCUUUUGUAUAAUGGGUCAUCGACUUAGUGUAUCUAGCAAGCUUAAGCCGUUAGGUGUAGGCGCAGCGAAAGCGAGUCUUAAUAGGGCGAUUGAGUUAGAUGCAUUAGACCCGAAACCGAGUGAUCUAGGCAUGACCAGGUUGAAGGUUGGGUAACACCAACUGGAGGACCGAACCCACAUCUGUUGAAAAAGAUCGGGAUGAGUUGUGCCUAGGGGUGAAAGGCCAAUCAAACUCGGAGAUAGCUGGUUCUCCGCGAAAUCUAUUUAGGUAGAGCGUCAUCCGAAUACCCCGGGGGGUAGAGCACUGGAUGGGUAAUGGGGCCCCACAGGCUUACUGAUCCUAACCAAACUCCGAAUACCCGGGAGUAAUAGAUGGCAGACACACUGCGGGUGCUAACGCCCGUAGUGAAAAGGGAAACAACCCUGACCGACAGUUAAGGCCCCUAAUUCAUGGCUAAGUGGGAAAGCAGGUGGGACGACCAAAACAACCAGGAAGUUGGCUUAGAAGCAGCCAUCUUUUAAAGAUAGCGUAACAGCUCACUGGUCUAAUUAAGUUGUCCUGCGGCGAAGAUGUAACGGGGCUCAAGCCAUGAGCCGAAACUUCGGAUGCAUUUAAUGCAUGGUAGCGGAGCGUAGUGUGACAUAGUUCCAUGCGUCCUUCGUUUUAUAGCGGACUGCCCAGGCUUUCGAGCCUGUGUGGAGGCGCGUAAAAUACUGGACGCAAGGAGCUUUCUGUGAAGCCGGCCUGUGAGGGAUCCGGUGGAGAGAUCACUAGUGAGAAUGAUGACAUGAGUAACGACAAAGGGGGUGAGAGACCCCCUCGCCGAAAAUCCAAGGGUUCCUGCUUAAAGCUAAUCUGAGCAGGGUAAGCCGGCCCCUAAGCCGAGGGCGAAAGCCGUAGGCGAUGGGAACCAGGUUAAUAUUCCUGGGCCAGGAGGAAGUGACGGAUCAUAAAGAUUGUUGGAUCAGGCGUAGUUGCCCCAGCAGUUCAGUGGUUCCUGGAAAUAGCCCUCCAUCAGACCGUACCCUAAACCGACACAGGUGGAUAGGUAGAGUAUACCAAGGCGCUUGAGAGAACUAUGUUGAAGGAACUCGGCAAAAUACCUCCGUAAGUUCGCGAGAAGGAGGCCCGGUUUCUAGGCAACUGGAAGCUGGGGGCACAAACCAGGGGGUGGCGACUGUUUACUAAAAACACAGGGCUCUGCGAAGUCGCAAGACGACGUAUAGGGUCUGACGCCUGCCCGGUGCCUGAAGGUUAAAAGGAGGGGUGAGAGCUCCGAAUUGAAGCCCAGGUAAACGGCGGCCGUAACUAUAACGGUCCUAAGGUAGCGAAAUUCCUUGUCGGGUAAGUUCCGACCUGCACGAAUGGCGUAACGACUUCCCCGCUGUCUCCAACAUAGACUCAGUGAAAUUGAAUUGCCUGUCAAGAUGCAGGCUUCCCGCGGUUAGACGGAAAGACCCCGUGCACCUUUACUACAACUUUACACUGAUAACAGGCACAACAUGUGCAGAAUAGGUGGUAGGCUUUGAAGCAGAAACGCCAGUUUUUGUGGAGCCUCCUUUGAGAUACCACCCUUGUUUUGCUUGUUAUCUAACUGCGGUCCGUUAUCCGGAUCCAGGACCCUGUAUGGUGGGUAGUUUGACUGGGGCGGUCGCCUCCUAAAGCGUAACGGAGGCGCGCGAAGGUUGGCUCAGAGCGGUCGGAAAUCGCUCGUUGAGUGCAAUGGCAGAAGCCAGCCUGACUGCGAGACUGACAAGUCGAGCAGAGUCGAAAGACGGCCAUAGUGAUCCGGUGGUCCCGAGUGGAAGGGCCAUCGCUCAACGGAUAAAAGGUACGCCGGGGAUAACAGGCUGAUGGUGCCCAAGAGUCCAUAUCGACGGCACCGUUUGGCACCUCGAUGUCGGCUCAUCUCAUCCUGGGGCUGGAGCAGGUCCCAAGGGUACGGCUGUUCGCCGUUUAAAGAGGUACGUGAGCUGGGUUUAGAACGUCGUGAGACAGUUCGGUCCCUAUCUGCCGUGGGUGUAGGAUACUUGAGAGGAGUUGCCCCUAGUACGAGAGGACCGGGGUGAACGAUCCACUGGUGGACCAGUUGUCGACUACGGCAGUGCUGGGUAGCUAUGAUCGGACAGGAUAACCGCUGAAAGCAUCUAAGCGGGAAGCCCCCCUCAAAACAAGGUAUCCCUGAGGACCGAGGUAGACCACCUCGUCGAUAGGCCAGAGGUGUAAGCGUGGUAACACGUUCAGCUGACUGGUACUAAUGGUCCGAUAGGCUUGAUUUG
RNAcentral lists this ribosomal RNA (2354 nucleotides) under bacterium. RNAcentral describes it as "partial 23S ribosomal RNA". It matches the Rfam family "Bacterial large subunit ribosomal RNA", at positions 530 to 2925 of the family's 2925-position model. The record is from RNAcentral.